This 497-nucleotide ribosomal RNA is filed under the name uncultured bacterium. RNAcentral's name for it is "partial 16S ribosomal RNA". It matches the Rfam family "Bacterial small subunit ribosomal RNA", at positions 28 to 507 of the family's 1533-position model. The record is from RNAcentral.
GAUGAACGCUGGCGGCGUGCCUAAUACAUGCAAGUCGAGCGAACAGAUGAGGAGCUUGCUCCUCUGACGUUAGCGGCGGACGGGUGAGUAACACGUGGAUAACCUACCUAUAAGACUGGGAUAACUUCGGGAAACCGGAGCUAAUACCGGAUAAUAUAUUGAACCGCAUGGUUCAAUAGUGAAAGACGGUUUUGCUGUCACUUAUAGAUGGAUCCGCGCCGCAUUAGCUAGUUGGUAAGGUAACGGCUUACCAAGGCAACGAUGCGUAGCCGACCUGAGAGGGUGAUCGGCCACACUGGAACUGAGACACGGUCCAGACUCCUACGGGAGGCACCAGUAGGGAAUCUUCCGCAAAGGGGGAAAGCCUGACGGAGCAACGCCGCGUGAGUGAUGAAGGUCUUCGGAUCGUAAAAACCUGUUAUUAGGGAAGAAAAAAUGUGUAAGUAAAUAUGCACGUCUUGACGGUACCUAAUCAGAAAGCCACGGCUAACUACGUG